This 446-nucleotide ribosomal RNA is filed under the name uncultured bacterium. RNAcentral describes it as "partial 16S ribosomal RNA". It matches the Rfam family "Bacterial small subunit ribosomal RNA", at positions 338 to 795 of the family's 1533-position model. The record is from RNAcentral.
CCUACGGGUGGCAGCAGUCGAGAAUCAUUCACAAUGGGGGAAACCCUGAUGGUGCGACGCCGCGUGGGGGAAUGAAGGUCUUCGGAUUGUAAACCCCUGUCAUGUGGGAGCAAAUAAAAAAGAUAGUACCACAAGAGGAAGAGACGGCUAACUCUGUGCCAGCAGCCGCGGUAAUACAGAGGUCUCAAGCGUUGUUCGGAAUCACUGGGCGUAAAGCGUGCGUAGGCUGUUUCGUAAGUCGUGUGUGAAAGGCGCGGGCUCAACCCGCGGACGGCACAUGAUACUGCGAGACUAGAGUAAGGGAGGGGGAACCGGAAUUCGCGGUGUAGCAGUGAAAUGCGUAGAUAUCGAGAGGAACAAUCGUGGCGAAGGCGGGUUCCUGGACAUUAACUGACGCUGAGGCACGAAGGCCAGGGGAGCGAAAGGGAUUAGAUACCCGGGUAGUC